GGUGAAUGACCAGAAACAGAACCGAAAGCUCUGUAAAGUGCUCUCAAGGUUACAAAGCAUGUUUCACAGGAGCAGUUUCAUCUCACACAGGCAGCCCUCUGAGCUGGGUAGUUACUGCUUUACAGAUGAGGAAGCCGAGGCCCAGGAGAGGGCGGGUCCUCAGCAAAUCAAGACAAAACUGAGACUAGGACCUAACAGAAGUCCAAGCUAUGAAUGGCCCCCGUAGGGUUAAAAGAGCUUUCUAGAAAUUUCUUUGAAAACUAUUGUAAAGUGACAUAUUUCCUCAGGAUGUCUGUCACGCCAGCAGUGGGAGCCAACACACCAACUCUCAGAGGCUGUUCCCCCUGCGCGGCAGAUCCAGACGCUCAGCUCCCAGGCCCGCUCAGCUCCCAGGCCCGCUCAGCUCCCAGGCCCGCUCAGCUCCCAGGCCCGGAGGCUGGCGGCUUAGCCCAGGGCACAGGAGGAGGCUGCCUGGGCUUGGUGCUGACUUACAGCAGGUGCUGAGGGAAUGCUGAGGAGAGGCAAGGCUGAUUCAAGAGGACAACAACAGAGAACAUUCCCAGAGCUCUCCCGCCAGCUGGGCAUGGUGCUAAGUGCAUUACCUGCGUUCACUCACAACAUCCUCACAACACUGAGUACAAUGACCAUCCCCAUGUACAGGCGUGGACACUAAGGCUCAGAGCAAUAAAUAACUAGCCUGAGAUCACA
This 708-nucleotide long non-coding RNA is filed under the name Pongo abelii (Sumatran orangutan). RNAcentral describes it as "lincRNA". Lineage: Eukaryota; Metazoa; Chordata; Mammalia; Primates; Hominidae. The record is from RNAcentral.